GCCUGCCUAGUACAGUGGUUAGUAUACUCCUUUGGUAAGGGAGAGAGGCUAGUUCGAUUCUAGCGGUGGGCA
RNAcentral lists this transfer RNA (72 nucleotides) under bacterium. RNAcentral's name for it is "tRNA-Thr". It matches the Rfam family "tRNA". From Rfam's summary of the family: Transfer RNA (tRNA) molecules are approximately 80 nucleotides in length. Their secondary structure includes four short double-helical elements and three loops (D, anti-codon, and T loops). The record is from RNAcentral.